Saccostrea cuccullata (small rock oyster) is the source of this 1226-nucleotide long non-coding RNA. RefSeq lists it as uncharacterized. The transcript is spliced from 4 exons. The record is from RefSeq and is a predicted model, not a curated record. Lineage: Eukaryota; Metazoa; Mollusca; Bivalvia; Ostreida; Ostreidae.
GUACAUUUGCACCAAUUUUUACAUGGCAUUUUCACACUAAGAAUGCCACGUGCAAAAUUAUAUACAGGAACAAUUCUGAACAAAUAUAUGCAAGUGAGUUGUAAAUUUGAUAUGUAAUGCAUACAUUACAAAAACCCAUGACAGUGUUCACUAAAAUGAAAUGUAUGGACUCUUAUAUAAAUACUUGGUAUAUGUGAUAUGGAUAUUAUGGAUGAUAUUUUUGAGAAUGACACAAGUAAUGAAAUUUUUCAGCAUUGAAUUGGAUUCUUGAACCAGAGCCAUGUGAACCUGGUCCACCUGUACCUCUCAUUGAAGACCUGUUAACAUCACCAGAGUAUGUUCAUUCUGAUACCCCUAUGGUAUGGUUACAGCAUGCAUUAUCCCUGAAUCCAUUAAAAGAGCUGCAUUGGCAACGAAACAACCCAAUGUGGUCGAUUGUAAGGAAAUAAAGCAUAUCAGCUUCCAACUUUGGUGCAGUUCUCAGUUCUAAGCAAAGGCGAUUGACAUUGUCACUGAAGAAACAGCUGAUGUCGGCUUACAAUCUGGAGUCCAUCAAGGCUGUUGCAUGGGGUAUCACUCAUGAAGAUGAUGCUUUGAGAAAGUAUGAAAAGGACUUUGAUGCAGCUGUAGAGCAGUCAGGAUAUGGUUGCAUGAAUCCGGUGUGUUGGGAGCUUCACCUGAUGGCUUAGUUGUUCGACCACCAACAUGCAGUGUAUUUUAUCAAACUCCAGAAGCCAAAGACGCCAUUCCUGAUAUUGUAGAGGUGAAGUGUCCAUAUACAGCAUCGUCUUCAACAGUAGCAGAUGGGGCACAAAAUUUGAAGGAUUUUUCAUAGAUCUUAAACAAGAUACCCUGUGCCUGAAAACCAGUCACCCAUACUAUCAUCAAAUUCAAGGCCAGCUACACAUAUGUAACAAAACAUUCUGCGACUUAAUUGUGUGGACAAGAGUAGACUGCAUUGUGAUUAGAAUAGUAAAAGACAUUGAAUGGACAGCAAAUGUUCCAAAGCUUAUAGAUUUCUACAUUAACAUUUUCAUUUCAGCACUGAUGGAAAACUGAGUUCUGGUUUGAACUUCUUGACACUUAAUUUUGUACCUCUAGAAUUUUCUAACAAUGGAAAAUGGGUAAUCAUGUUAAAUGUGUUGAAUGUUCCUAAGUCUCAUAAAUGUAUGACAUGAUAUGUCACAAUCCAUCUUAAAACUUCUGGCUUAUAAGACUAUUUUAAA